AUUGAACGCUGGCGGCAGGCCUAACACAUGCAAGUCGAACGGUAACAGGAAGACGCUUGCUUCUUUGCUGACGAGUGGCGGACGGGUGAGUAAUGUCUGGGAAACUGCCUGAUGGAGGGGGAUAACUACUGGAAACGGUAGCUAAUACCGCAUAACGUCGCAAGACCAAAGAGGGGGACCUUCGGGCCUCUUGCCAUCGGAUGUGCCCAGAUGGGAUUAGCUAGUAGGUGGGGUAACGGCUCACCUAGGCGACGAUCCCUAGCUGGUCUGAGAGGAUGACCAGCCACACUGGAACUGAGACACGGUCCAGACUCCUACGGGAGGCAGCAGUGGGGAAUAUUGCACAAUGGGCGCAAGCCUGAUGCAGCCAUGCCGCGUGUAUGAAGAAGGCCUUCGGGUUGUAAAGUACUUUCAGCGGGGAGGAAGGGAGUAAAGUUAAUACCUUUGCUCAUUGACGUUACCCGCAGAAGAAGCACCGGCUAACUCCGU
This 489-nucleotide ribosomal RNA is filed under the name uncultured bacterium. RNAcentral describes it as "partial 16S ribosomal RNA". It matches the Rfam family "Bacterial small subunit ribosomal RNA", at positions 30 to 506 of the family's 1533-position model. The record is from RNAcentral.